This is a long non-coding RNA of Solea senegalensis (Senegalese sole), 553 nucleotides long. RefSeq lists it as uncharacterized. NCBI's taxonomy places the organism in Eukaryota, Metazoa, Chordata, Actinopteri, Pleuronectiformes, Soleidae. The transcript has 3 exons. The record is from RefSeq and is a predicted model, not a curated record.
UGGACGUCCAUGAACACCUGGUAUCCCAGUGUCACCCUUCGGACCUUGUACUCCCUGCAAAUCAGUGAAAUGUGAAUGGAUACAACUCUCACAUUAUACAAACACACAAAUCCCUGAGCUUCAAAAAUCCCUGAGAAGUUGUAGGCACCAUCUGUAUCGUUGAGAAGGAGCUUAAAAAAAAAAAAAAAAAAAAGAGGGGGAGACAGAUGGAGAGAUUUGACAAACUUCAUCACUCUGGAAAGUUUCUCAAAAAGGAAACAACCAUGUUCCAAUUCUGUUGGAGUGAACCUGGCAGGGUCCAGGUCUGAUGCCGCUUACCUUCUGGAGGUUGAUGACAGGUCCCGGUGGACCAGGCGGUCCGGGAAGACCAACUGCGUCCCGUCCCUUCUCGCCCUGAAAGACACAAUUAACACUCAGAGUCAGAAGUGCAUGUGUAUUUCUUAGUCUGACCACUUCAUAUAAUGCCCUACUCGGAGGUGUUACCUGUUUUCCUGGUUCACCUUUGUCCCCUUUUGGUCCCUGCAGAUAAGAAAAUAUAAAGAUUUGAAGUUAA